CGCCUACGGGACGCAGCAGUGGGGAAUAUUGCACAAUGGGGGAAACCCUGAUGCAGCGACGCCGCGUGAAGGAUGAAGUAUUUCGGUAUGUAAACUUCUAUCAGCAGGGAAGAAAAUGACGGUACCUGACUAAGAAGCCCCGGCUAACUACGUGCCAGCAGCCGCGGUAAUACGUAGGGGGCAAGCGUUGUCCGGAAUUACUGGGGGUAAAGGGAGCGCAGGCGGGAAGCCAAGUCAGCUGUGAAAACUACGGGCUUAACUUGUAGACUGCAGUUGAAACUGGCUUUCUUGAGUGAAGUAGAGGG
Molecule: ribosomal RNA, 305 nt
Filed under: uncultured bacterium
Lineage: Bacteria
Description: bacterial SSU rRNA
Rfam family: Bacterial small subunit ribosomal RNA
Source: RNAcentral